Molecule: ribosomal RNA, 509 nt
Filed under: uncultured bacterium
Lineage: Bacteria
Description: partial 16S ribosomal RNA
Source: RNAcentral
GGAGUUAGCCGGUGCUUCUUCUGCGAGUAACGUCACAGAUGUAAGGUAUUAACUUACACCCUUUCCUCCUCGCUGAAAGUGCUUUACAACCCGAAGGCCUUCUUCACACACGCGGCAUGGCUGCAUCAGGGUUUCCCCCAUUGUGCAAUAUUCCCCACUGCUGCCUCCCGUAGGAGUCUGGGCCGUGUCUCAGUCCCAGUGUGGCUGAUCAUCCUCUCAGACCAGCUAGGGAUCGUCGCCUAGGUGAGCCUUUACCUCACCUACUAGCUAAUCCCACCUGGGCUUAUCCAUCAGCGCAAGGCCCGAAGGUCCCCUGCUUUCCCCCGUAGGGCGUAUGCGGUAUUAGCAGUCGUUUCCAACUGUUAUCCCCACAACUGGGCAAAUUCCCAGGCAUUACUCACCCGUCCGCCGCUCGUCAUCUUCAAAGCAAGCUUUUGAAAUGUUACCGCUCGACUUGCAUGUGUUAGGCCUGCCGCCAGCGUUCAAUCUGAGCCAUGAUCAAACUCUGA